RNAcentral lists this ribosomal RNA (109 nucleotides) under Cyanistes caeruleus (blue tit). Lineage: Eukaryota; Metazoa; Chordata; Aves; Passeriformes; Paridae. The record is from RNAcentral.
ACCUACGGCUAUACCAUGCUGAGGACGCCUGAUCUCGGAAGGUAAGCAGGGUCGGGCCCGGUUAGUACUUGGAUGCGAGACCGCCCGGAAAUACCGGAUGCUGUAGGUG